Molecule: ribosomal RNA, 253 nt
Filed under: uncultured bacterium
Lineage: Bacteria
Description: partial 16S ribosomal RNA
Rfam family: Bacterial small subunit ribosomal RNA
Source: RNAcentral
UACAGAGGUCCCAAGCGUUGUUCGGAUUCACUGGGCGUAAAGGGUGCGUAGGUGGCGGGGUAAGUCGGAUGUGAAAUCUCCGAGCUCAACUCGGAAAUGGCAUUGGAAACUACCUUGCUCGAGGGUUGGAGGGGGGACUGGAAUACUUGGUGUAGCAGUGAAAUGCGUAGAUAUCUGGAGGAACACCGGUGGCGAAGGCGGCAUCCUGGACCAACACUGACACUGAGGAGCGAAAGCCAGGGGAGCAAACGGG